UACGAAGGGGGCUAGCGUUGCUCGGAUUCACUGGGCGUAAAGCGCACGUAGGCGGAUUGUUAAGUCAGGGGUGAAAUCCUGGAGCUCAACUCCAGAACUGCCUUUGAUACUGGCGAUCUCGAGUCCGGGAGAGGUGAGUGGAACUGCGAGUGUAGAGGUGAAAUUCGUAGAUAUUCGCAAGAACACCAGUGGCGAAGGCGGCUCACUGGCCCGGUACUGACGCUGAGGUGCGAAAGCGUGGGGAGCAAACAGG
This 253-nucleotide ribosomal RNA is filed under the name uncultured bacterium. RNAcentral's name for it is "partial 16S ribosomal RNA". It matches the Rfam family "Bacterial small subunit ribosomal RNA", at positions 524 to 776 of the family's 1533-position model. The record is from RNAcentral.